RNAcentral lists this ribosomal RNA (1910 nucleotides) under marine metagenome. Its description in RNAcentral is "bacterial LSU rRNA". It matches the Rfam family "Bacterial large subunit ribosomal RNA", at positions 1071 to 2925 of the family's 2925-position model. The record is from RNAcentral.
GGUGGUGACAUGACUUAUACAACCAGGAGGUUGGCUUAGAAGCAGCCAUCCUUUAAAGAAAGCGUAACAGCUCACUGGUUUAGUGAUUUUGCGCCGAAAAUGUAACGGGGCUAAAGCAUACUACCGAAGCUACGGGAUUAUCACUUAUGCACAGAUUUUAGCGAUUUAAUAUCGUUAGAAUUUGUGUAUUAAGUGAUAAUCGGUAGAGGAGCGUUCCGUAUUAGGUCGAAGUCAAACUGAGAAGUUUGGUGGACGAAGCGGAAGUGAGAAUGUCGGCAUGAGUAACGAAAAGAAAGGUGAGAAUCCUUUCCGCCGUAAGUCUAAGGUUUCCUGGGGAAGGUUCGUCCGCCCAGGGUUAGUCGGUCCUAAGGUGAGGUCGAAAGGCGUAGUCGAUGGACAACAGGUUAAUAUUCCUGUACCACUAAAAGUGCGUUAUCAGCGAUGGGGUGACGCAGUAGGAUAGGUCAGCCACUUAUUGGAUUGUGGUUUAAGCAUGUAGGAGGAAGAGAUUGGUAAAUCCGUUUCUUCUUAACUCUGAGGUGUGAGUACGACUUACGUAUGUAGGGAAGUGAUUGAUUCCACGCUGACAAGAAAAACCUCUAGUGAGAUUUAUGGGUAUCCGUACUAAAACCGACACAGGUAGGUAGGUAGAGAAUACUAAGGCGCGCGAGAUAACCCUCGUUAAGGAACUCGGCAAAUUAGCUUCGUAACUUCGGAAGAAGAAGUGCCCUGGUAAUGUGAAGGUCCUUGCGAUUCGAGCAUGAAAGGGUUGCAGUGAAAGGGCUCAAGCGACUGUUUACCAAAAACACAGGUCCCUGCUAAACCGUAAGGUGAUGUAUAGGGGCUGACGCCUGCCCAGUGCUGGAAGGUUAAUAGGAGGAGUUAAACUUCGGUUGAAGCUCCGAAUUGAAGCCCCAGUGAACGGCGGCCGUAACUAUAACGGUCCUAAGGUAGCGAAAUUCCUUGUCGGGUAAGUUCCGACCCGCACGAAAGGCGUAAUGAUCUGGGUACUGUCUCGGAGAGAGACUCGGCGAAAUAGAAAUGUCUGUGAAGAUGCGGACUACUUACACCUGGACAGAAAGACCCUAUGAAGCUUUACUAUAACUUGGCAUUGGGUUCGGGCUUGAUUUGCGCAGGAUAAGUGGGAGGCUAUGAUUUUUUCCUUCCGGGGAAAAAGGAGCCAAUGGUGAGAUACCACUCUAAUCAAGCUAGACCCCUAACUUUAAACCAUAAACAGGUUAGAGAACAGUGUCAGGCGGGUAGUUUUUCUGGGGCGGAAGCCUCCUAAAAGGUAACGGAGGCGUACAAAGGUUUCCUCAGGCUGGACGGAAAUCAGCCGUAGAGUGUAAAGGCAGAAGGAAGCUUGACUGCGAGACCAACAAGUCGAGCAGGGACGAAAGUCGGUCUUAGUGAUCCGACGGUUCCGCGUGGAAGGGCCGUCGCUCAACGGAUAAAAGUUACUCUAGGGAUAACAGGCUAAUCUCCCUCAAGAGUUCACAUCGACAGGGAGGUUUGGCACCUCGAUGUCGGCUUAUCGCAACCUGGGGCGGAAGGGCGUCCCAAGGGUUGGGCUGUUCGCCCAUGAAAGCGGUACAUGAGCUGGGUUCAGAACGUCGUGAGACAGUUUGGUCCAUAUCCGGUGUAAGCGUUAGAGUAUUGAAGAGAGCCUUCCUUUGUACGAGAGGACCGGGAAGGAUGCACCUCUGGUGUACCAGUUCUUUAAAAAGGAAACGCUGGGUAGCCAUGUGUGGUUUGGAUAACCGCUGAAAGCAUCUAAGUGGGAAGCCGUCUCUAAGAUGAGUACUCUCUUAUUAAGACUACAGCAAGACUAGCUGGUUGAUAGGUAUCAAGUGUAAGUUGUGUAAGCAAUGUAGCUGAGAUAUACUAACAAGUCGAAUGAGUUUGACUUU